Molecule: ribosomal RNA, 301 nt
Filed under: uncultured bacterium
Lineage: Bacteria
Description: partial 16S ribosomal RNA
Rfam family: Bacterial small subunit ribosomal RNA
Source: RNAcentral
CAGCAGCCGCGGUAAUACGAAGGGUGCAAGCGUUAAUCGGAAUUACUGGGCGUAAAGCGUGCGUAGGCGGUUUGUUAAGUCUGCUGUGAAAUCCCCGGGCUCAACCUGGGAAUGGCAGUGGAUACUGGCAAGCUAGAGUGUGUCAGAGGAUGGUGGAAUUCCCGGUGUAGCGGUGAAAUGCGUAGAGAUCGGGAGGAACAUCAGUGGCGAAGGCGGCCAUCUGGGACAACACUGACGCUGAGGCACGAAAGUGUGGGGAGCAAACAGGAUUAGAUACCCGUGUAGUCCCUGUCUCUUAUAA